Molecule: transfer RNA, 72 nt
Filed under: Stenamma impar
Lineage: Eukaryota; Metazoa; Arthropoda; Insecta; Hymenoptera; Formicidae
Description: tRNA-Lys
Source: RNAcentral
CAUUAAAUGACUGAUUUAAGUAUUGAUUUUUUAAAUCAAAAUAUAAUAGACAUCUAUCUCUAUUUUUAAUGA